AGGCUAUGAUGAGAAAAGUCAUGAACCACUCUGAAGAGACUCAUCUCUUUUUGCUGAUAAACAAACUUUACAACCCAAUGUAAAUCAGAGCUA
RNAcentral lists this small nucleolar RNA (93 nucleotides) under Hordeum vulgare. Its description in RNAcentral is "Small nucleolar RNA Z221/R21b". It matches the Rfam family "Small nucleolar RNA Z221/R21b". From Rfam's summary of the family: Z221 is a member of the C/D class of snoRNA which contain the C (UGAUGA) and D (CUGA) box motifs. The record is from RNAcentral. RNAcentral also lists the same sequence under 1 other name. Lineage: Eukaryota; Viridiplantae; Streptophyta; Magnoliopsida; Poales; Poaceae.